RNAcentral lists this long non-coding RNA (577 nucleotides) under Homo sapiens (human). RNAcentral describes it as "non-protein coding lnc-CTNNBIP1-8:2". The record is from RNAcentral. Lineage: Eukaryota; Metazoa; Chordata; Mammalia; Primates; Hominidae.
UUUUCCGAGGCAAUCUGGCUGGCUUAACUCUCCGUUCCGGGAAACUCGCGGAUAAGAAGGUGAUCGACUGUCUGUAUACCUGCAAGGAGGGGCUGGACCUGCAGGUCCUCGAAGACAGUGGCAGAGGCGUGCAAUCCAAGCACACCCCAGCCAGUUGGUAUUGACCUUGGAGGGAGAAGACCUCGGGGAAUUGGAUAAGGCCAUGCAGCACAUCUCGUACCUGAACUCCCGGCAGUUCCCCACGCCCGGAAUUCGCAGACUCAAAAUCACCAGCACAAUCAGUGUUUUAACGAGGCCACCUGCAUUUCGGUCCCCCCGGUAGAUGGCUACGUGAUGGUUUUACAGCCCGAGGAGCCCAAGAUCAGCCUGAGUGGCGUCCACCAUUUUGCCCGAGCAGCUUCUGAAUUUGAAAGCUCAGAAGGGGUGUUCCUUUUCCCUGAGCUUCGCAUCAUCAGCACCAUCACGAGAGAAGUGGAGCCUGAAGGGGACGGGGCUGAGGACCCCACAUUCAAGAAUCACUGGUGUCCGAGGAGAUCGUGCACGACCUGGAUACCUGUGAGGUCACGGUGGAGGGAGA